This 96-nucleotide transfer RNA is filed under the name archaeon 13_1_20CM_2_51_12. RNAcentral's name for it is "tRNA-Phe". It matches the Rfam family "tRNA". From Rfam's summary of the family: Transfer RNA (tRNA) molecules are approximately 80 nucleotides in length. Their secondary structure includes four short double-helical elements and three loops (D, anti-codon, and T loops). The record is from RNAcentral. RNAcentral also lists the same sequence under 1 other name.
GCCGCCGUAGCGUAGCUUGGUAGCGCAGAGGCCUGAAAAGUCUCUAGGGCGGGUUCAAAGCACCUCCCGGUAGGUGGGAAUAUCCCGCCGGCGGCC